CGGACGGGUGAGUAACACGUGGGCGACCUGCCUUUGAGUGGGGAAUAACGCUUGGAAACAGGCGCUAAUACCGCAUACGCUCCCUUUUUCGUUAAGGGGAGGAAAGCUUGAUGUGCUCAAAGAGGGGCCUGCGGCGGAUUAGCUAGUUGGUGGGGUAACGGCCUACCAAGGCGACGAUCCGUAGCUGGUCUGAGAGGAUGAUCAGCCACACUGGGACUGAGACACGGCCCAG
This 232-nucleotide ribosomal RNA is filed under the name uncultured bacterium. RNAcentral describes it as "partial 16S ribosomal RNA". It matches the Rfam family "Bacterial small subunit ribosomal RNA", at positions 99 to 334 of the family's 1533-position model. The record is from RNAcentral.